This 495-nucleotide ribosomal RNA is filed under the name uncultured bacterium. RNAcentral describes it as "bacterial SSU rRNA". It matches the Rfam family "Bacterial small subunit ribosomal RNA", at positions 21 to 518 of the family's 1533-position model. The record is from RNAcentral.
GGCUCAGGAUGAAUGCUGGCGGCGUGCCUAAUACAUGCAAGUCGAGCGGCAACAUGGGUUCAUCCUGUCUGAAGUUUCUUCGAGAACAGAAUGAAACCUGAUGGCGAGCGGCGGACGGCUGAGUAACGCAUGGGAACGCACCCAAACUGAGGGAUAACUAGUCGAAAGAUUAGCUAAUACCGCAUGUGAUCUUCGGAUUAAAGCUUUCGCGGUUUGGGAGCGGCCUGUGUACGAUUAGAUAGUUGGUGAGGUAAUGGCUCACCAAGUCGACGAUCGUUAGAUGGUUUGAGAGGAUGAUCAUCCAGACUGGGACUGAGACACGGCCCAGACUCCUACGGGAGGCAGCAGUAGGGAAUCUUUCACAAUGGGCGAAAGCCUGAUGGAAGCAACGCCGCGUGCAGGAUGAAGGCCUUCGGGUUGUAAACUGCUUUUAUAAGCGAGGAAUAUGACGGUAACUUAUGAAUAAGGAUCGGCUAACUACGUGCCAGCAGCCGC